GUAGUUAGCCGGGGCUUCCUCCUUGGCUACCGUCACUUCCUUCUUCACCAAGGACAGAGGUUUACAAUCCGAAAACCUUCUUCCCUCACGCGGCGUUGCUGGGUCAGGCUUUCGCCCAUUGCCCAAUAUUCCCCACUGCUGCCUCCCGUAGGAGUUUGGACCGUCUCUCAGUUCCAAUGUGGCCGAUCACCCUCUCAGGUCGGCUACCGAUCGUCGCCUUGGUGGGCCGUUACCUCGCCAACUAGCUAAUCGGACGCGAACUCACCCCAAACCGGAUUGCUCCUUUUACCCCUUGGCGAUGUCGCCUUGUGGUCUUAUGCGGUAUUAGCAGAUGUUUCCAUCUGUUAUCCCCCUGUCUGGGACAGAUUGUUCACGCGUUACUCACCCGUCCGCCGCUCGAACAUUGGCCGAAGCCAUUGUCCUCGCUCGACUUGCAUGUGUUAAGCACGCCGCCAGCGUUCGUCCUGAGCCAGAAUCAAACUCUGA
RNAcentral lists this ribosomal RNA (486 nucleotides) under uncultured bacterium. Its description in RNAcentral is "partial 16S ribosomal RNA". The record is from RNAcentral.